CUGUUCAUUAGAAUUGCCGGUUUUGCCCUCAUUCGAGAUUUUUUUACGGUUCUGCCACUGAGCUAUACUAGAUGCUUCCAUCAGUUUCUUCUUUCUUCUACGGCCAUCGGUUUCUUCUCUCUUUUGAUGGUUUCUCUCUUCAUCACUCAGUACGACAUCGAAGAAGUACAGCAACACAUGUAACAACCCAACAAUCUCGCCGUUCCUUGAUUUCAUUAGUGAAUCACGACCCUUGAUCUGUGCGUGACCUAUGUAGUUUCGCAGCAGGAGAUAGUUUCUCUGUACGAGAGGUUCUGUCAGCUCGAUCAUAGUGGCGGAGGUUUCAUCUUCGUCGACGAGUUUUUGUCCGUACCGGAAUUCGCACCCAAUCCUCUCUCUCAGUUUUGGGUGGGUGGACGUAGAUACUGGGGGAGAGGGAUUGGAGCAAGACCACACUUGCUCUGAGAAGAUGCUUCUGUAUCAACGCCCAAUUUCCUUUCCUCAUCAGAGAGAUUUGAUCCAACAACAAAGCUACUUAGUUUUGGUAUAUUUACGUGCCAAUGAUCUCAGUGAGGCCGAGAAUACAACAGAGGAUUAAAAGCGCAGAGCUCAGGAUGUUAACCGAGGAGCAAGAAAAUGAACUUCUGAACUUUACACCAUUCAUUCCAUUGAUGUCUCCCUUGUUGUAGUGACGUUGAUCCCAUAGUAGCAUCUUCUCUGCAGGAGCAUCAGAGAUGUAAAUAUUGUCUUGGAACUGCUUAUGGCUCAUCUUCUGAUGCAAUGACUAUAAUCCAACAAUGAUCUCCUAUUGUUAAGUAGUGAUUCUGGAUUUUGAGCAAUGGAAGAACUCUAUGCAGUAGUGAUUCUGUUUGGAAGGCUUUGGUUUUUUAUGCCAAAAGUUGUGAAUGCUUCUUUAAUGCUGAUCAAGACAAGGAUUUGGCAAGGCCAUAGUAGACAUAAAGAAAAUGUUGGAGCAAUUUGAUAAGUUGCUCAAUGCCGACACCGUAAUUUUCAAAAAUGCUAGAUGCAAGGUGCUUUUUAGUAUUAACUUUUUGAAGUUAUUCAAGAAACUGAUGUUGGCCUGUUUGGAGAAGUCAGCACUCAGCACUGGAUCUUCUAUUAAAGCUUUCAUGUGGCUGGAGACCCAAGAAGCAAGUGUUGAGAGAAGUUGUAGUAACUCCUCACUAAUUUUGAAGAAAUUUAAGGUUAAAUCUCAUUGUUUGCACAACAGCCUAUUGCAAAGAAUAUGAGAUACAUUCAAAUGAUAAAGGUCUGAGAUGUAUUGCCUCCAGAGGAUAUCUCGAGGAUAUCCCAAAGUUGGAAUAUCGCUUGGAGACGGUUUUAAAUAGAUACACAAAUAAAAUCAUUUUUGUUCAUCUCGCAGCAUCGCGCGAGGGGGAUUAUCUAGUAUAUACUAAAGCUGGUGCAUGCAUCGCUGUUGAUCUUGGCCCCAAAUGGAGUGACGGUUUUGCCCUUGCUACUUGCCUCAACAACGGUUUUUACGGAUAAGAAGAGCCACUAUGAGAGCGAAGAUUUAUAAUAGAGGUUUGGCCGUUUGUUUUGGAAGAGGUUCGGUUUCAGUACAUGCAGAGAGAGGGACUGAGAGCGAAGUAGCUAGGGAUCGAUAGCGGGAUUUGGAUCUUUCAGCAAAAGCAGAGUGUUUCAUAUUACUGCUACAAGGGAGAAUAAUCUCAGUGAUGAUGCCAUAGCUAAAGACAUUAAACAGAAUAUGAAUUUGGAUAUUUGGUUUUCGGUUUCCUAUUCCAGGUCUUCAGAAUGCUUUCUUGAUUGUACUGUAGCAAAUGGAAAAGUUUAUGCUAAUGAUCAUCUAUCAGGUCAAAAUAACCUGCCCAUGCAAGGAGCCGACUGCAGGGAGCUCUUUGUUAGAGAGAUGAUGUGUGCCUCCCACAUGCAUAAUGAUAAAGCCCGCGCUUCAAGGGUGCUUGAGGUCUUGGAGAAAUCCAUUUGUUCACGUGCAUCCAGAGACGCCAGUAAUUGCAGCAUCUGAAGCUACUGGUGGUCCAGUACCAGGAACAACUGUGAAGUCUUGAGAUAAACCAUUCUCAUAUAAAGUUCAAGUAGUACAGCAAGCCAAGUUAAGCUUCAAUCGAGAAGCUUCUUAAUCCAUAUGAUAAGGAGUGAAAGAUGUGGCCAUUUCAAAGCAGAAAAAAAAAAUACGAAUAUGAAAUUAGAUGCAAAUGCAAGAGAGAAGAGAUACGCUUGACGCUGUGGGGAGAAAUAGCACGCAAUCUUGAUACCAAGGCUACAAGGAAUAAAGUAAAACAGCGUCAAAGUGAAACAGAACCAAAACAAGAUUUCACUAUCAUACACAGGAAACAGUUUCUACUUUCUAAAUCCUGAAAUUCCAGAAAGAGAUCAAGCAGCGUCUCUGUAAAGGCGCUCCUGGCUUUCCCAGGCAAUGAAAUCGUGCCAAUCACAACCAACAUUAGCUGCAGAAGAAUCAUCUCGAAGGACCUGAUGUAAAUAGGUUGUUUGAACUACAAAUGUAGAGUUUGCAGGCUGGUUUUGGUUUGAGUGGGGAUCCCAUUAUUACAACUCAUGCAAGCAAGUUGAUGCUGUUGAAAUCAAAUGCACACCAUCUAGAAUAUUACAUACUUGCAAGUGAUCUGUGCAUUCAUCAAUUUUUCGGUACCAGAAGUUGCAGUUUGUCUCCUUCCUCAUCAAAAGUGAAUUUGAAGGCAUAUACUGAUCGAGCUUCAUGAGGAAGAACAAGUGGAACAGACAUUCCAUCCUGGUUCGAAUGAGACAUUGCUUUUGCAAGACAAUGGGAAACAACUUCUUCAAAUCCAAGGAAUGUUAGAACAAAAGAUGAAGCAAUGAGAAGCAAUUCAAGCAGCUAAUGCAAGGCUGGUUUCAGAUCAUUGCUGGAAAGAUUGCUGAUUGUAAAUGAUACUUAAAGCUACUAUAUAUGCAGUGGGCUUCAUCUCUCUUCGACUGAAGCCCCUCAGUUCGAUUCAUAGUUUUCAUGCAGAUGGAGAAGAAACAAAUCUAAGAUUUCAGGACGAACCCAUCUUUUCAAACCAAGUUUACGAAAGAGUCCAGGUGAAUAGGGUGACGAUGAUCAUCAACCGGAACUCGGAAGACUCUUCUGUUCACAUGUUUCAAGCACAAGAUGAAUUUUAGUCUUUGAACGCUCCAGGGAUUAAUCUGUUACUAUUUAGUCACUGCAUGUACUUAUGUGAGUCCCAUCCCCAUUAACUUGGUAAUCAUUAGAAAAGGCUGCUGAAGGUCAUGGAAUUGAUAUUGUUAGUCUCUAGGUUCACACAAAGGAACAUUCUAAGGAUUUACCCCAAAGGAACUUGAAGUUGCCUCCUCGAAUUACCAACCACAUGUUGAAUGGAUGCAUGGAGCUCAAAUGGUUGUCUCUAAUAUGCAGGGAUGUGACAAAUCACGAUGUUUAGACCCAAUGAGGAUGCGGUUACUUGAAAAAGCUCGCCUUUUUAUGCACAAGGGCCCAAAUGAUGAGCAGCUCAGCUCAAAUUUCAGAGGAGCAAUCAUCUGUUCCAAAUGACGAAUUUGACUUUGUACACACAUAUGACUGACUACCUUGUAUAAAAUAGUUGGUCGCCAUUACAAGCCUAAACCAUUUGUUGUAUAAAAUAGUUGGUCGCCAUUACAAGCCUAAACCAUUUGUUGUCAAGCCUGACCAUGUUUGCUAUAUGUACAUAAACACCUACUAUCGUUAGCAUAUCUAACUUUGAAAUCUGGCUAACUUACUAGGUUUUUGAACAUGUAAAACAAUAUAUAAUGUAUAAUGUAGCAAUGUAAUAUAAACAAUGUUUCUAAAUUCAGUAGCAUUGAAUCAAA
Molecule: long non-coding RNA, 3807 nt
Organism: Rosa rugosa (rugosa rose)
Lineage: Eukaryota; Viridiplantae; Streptophyta; Magnoliopsida; Rosales; Rosaceae
Exons: 21
Source: RefSeq, a predicted model, not a curated record